Molecule: unclassified non-coding RNA, 269 nt
Filed under: Hevea brasiliensis (rubber tree)
Lineage: Eukaryota; Viridiplantae; Streptophyta; Magnoliopsida; Malpighiales; Euphorbiaceae
Source: RNAcentral
GUUCUAUAGCCUCAUCAAUUUUAGUGAGAGCAACAUCAUAUUGUCCCCGCCUGUCAUAAUGCUGAGCCAAGAAAAAUAAUGUCCACAUAAGUGUUGAAGGAGGUUCUUUGUUUGUGCUCCCUGGGUAUCUCCCAGUCAAUCUAAUUGAAUGCUCCAACUCAAGAAUAAGUUUUUCCAGUAUGUCUGCCUUGCCAGCAUGGUCAUACAAGGAAGAAAGAUCUGAGAAUAAUGAAGGAACACCCUUGGUAAGGAGGGGCCUAAUAUAAUUG